GGCCCGGUCGCCAAGUGGUAAGGCUAGGGUCUGCAAAACCCUCAUCGUCGGUUCGAUUCCGUCCCGGGCCUCCA
RNAcentral lists this transfer RNA (74 nucleotides) under candidate division WWE3 bacterium CG10_big_fil_rev_8_21_14_0_10_32_10. RNAcentral's name for it is "tRNA-Cys". It matches the Rfam family "tRNA". Rfam says of the family: Transfer RNA (tRNA) molecules are approximately 80 nucleotides in length. Their secondary structure includes four short double-helical elements and three loops (D, anti-codon, and T loops). Further hydrogen bonds mediate the characteristic L-shaped molecular structure. tRNAs have two regions of fundamental functional importance: the anti-codon, which is responsible for specific mRNA codon recognition, and the 3' end, to which the tRNAs corresponding amino acid is attached (by aminoacyl-tRNA synthetases). tRNAs cope with the degeneracy of the genetic code in two manners: having more than one tRNA (with a specific anti-codon) for a particular amino acid; and 'wobble' base-pairing, i.e. permitting non-standard base-pairing at the 3rd anti-codon position. The record is from RNAcentral. Lineage: Bacteria; candidate division WWE3.